This is a non-coding RNA of Eptesicus fuscus (big brown bat), 88 nucleotides long. The record is from RefSeq and is marked provisional. Lineage: Eukaryota; Metazoa; Chordata; Mammalia; Chiroptera; Vespertilionidae.
GCCCCUUGAGUGUGUCACUUGUGGAUGUGUAGAGUUGUAAUCUGGUAUUGUUUGAAGCUGUCCAUUAGGUGCACUGGCUCUAGGGCCU